CGCACCCAGAAAAUUCCACAUAAACUUUAUUGCCAGAGAUUAAGAAGAACUAUUGAAAAGAAUUGCACUCAUCUUGUGUUUCUGGAGUCUGAAGAUACUCUGCAUUCAGUCUGGUCUAAAACAAAACCUCUCUUGGAUAAAGAAAGAAAAUGAACGACAUGAUUUGCUAAAUCAGUAUGGCACAUUUGUUCAUGGUGGAUUUUGUCAAACUUCCCUAGAAUGGAUUUUGGAAAGGAGGGCCUGCAAGCAGACACUUUUAAGGAGGAAGACCAUCCAUCACAGCAGACUGUCAGUGAUCUGACAAGCAGGGUGCCAUCUUCCAGUAUAACUGAGAAGGUUGUAUCAUCUUCACACCCAGCUUGGGUUGACAAUAUGAGUCCAGCAAGAGCUUUCAUUUCAUUCAGAAGCCAGUGGUCUGAAGCAAGAGUAAUGUCUCGACAGAUAACCACAAACAAGGUUUUCAGCAUCCAAAGCAACUAUCUUAUUCAACCAACUCUGAUCUUUUUUUCUCAGAAGCUGAAUUCCAGUGUAAACCAGGCUGGAAUUCAUGAUGCAAGUGAUACCAUGGAAAUGUUCACUCCUCCUUUGCUCCCCACCUCAGAGAUGAGCCAUUGUGCUGCCACAUACAAAACCAUGGAGCAGGCUCCAGGGCAGCAGGACCAGCUGAUGAAGCAGAAGAUGGAGAAGCUGCAAAGGCUGGUGGCUGAACAGCAGAAAAUCAUCACACUUUACAACCCAGGCAAAUCCCACCAGCAAGUGGUAAUAGACAGAAGACUUCCGAAAAUUUUGUUGAAG
Molecule: long non-coding RNA, 795 nt
Filed under: Parus major (Great Tit)
Lineage: Eukaryota; Metazoa; Chordata; Aves; Passeriformes; Paridae
Description: lncRNA (ENSPMJG00000001603.1)
Source: RNAcentral